Long non-coding RNA from Gadus macrocephalus (Pacific cod), 299 nucleotides. RefSeq lists it as uncharacterized. The record is from RefSeq and is a predicted model, not a curated record. The transcript has 3 exons. Lineage: Eukaryota; Metazoa; Chordata; Actinopteri; Gadiformes; Gadidae.
CGUAGAGCAGUCCCCUCGGGUCCAGCUUCACACACAGCUGCUGAGAACGGCAGGCUGCCAGACAGGUAGACAGACAGGCAGAGCGGUAGAGAGACAGGUAGAGACAGACAGGUAGAGACAGACAGGUAGAGACAGACAGGCAGAGCGGUAGAGAGACAGGUAGAGACAGACAGGUAGAGACAGACAGGUAGGCACACAGGUAGAGACAGAAGGAGAGAAUAGGGAAAAAUAGGGAAAAAGGUUUGAUGUCAAUUCUGAUAAUCCUGUUUCUCGUAGUGCCCUAUUAUUGUCACCCUGGC